RNAcentral lists this ribosomal RNA (470 nucleotides) under uncultured bacterium. RNAcentral describes it as "bacterial SSU rRNA". It matches the Rfam family "Bacterial small subunit ribosomal RNA", at positions 29 to 526 of the family's 1533-position model. The record is from RNAcentral.
AGCGAACGCUAGCGGCGGGCUUAACACAUGCAAGUCGAGCGAGAACUUCGGUUCUAGCGGCGAACGGGUGAGUAACACGUAGAUGACGUACCCUUUGGCGGGGGAUAACUCAGGGAAACCUGAGCUAAUACCGCAUAUGUCCUUCGGGAUGAAAGGCUUCGGCCACCAGAGGAUCGGUCUGCGGCCCAUUAUCUAAUCCUAGUUGGUAGGGUAACGGCCUACCAAGGGUACGAUGGGUAGCUGGUCUGAGAGGAUGAUCAGCCACACUGGGACUGAGACACGGCCCAGACUCCUACGGGAGGCAGCAGUGGGGAAUAUUGGACAAUGGGCGAAAGCCUGAUCCAGCCACGCCGCGUGAGUGAUGAAGGCCCUAGGGUUGUAAAGCUCUGUCGGGAGGGACGAAGGCUUCGGCUUGACGGUACCUCGCAAGAAAGCACCGGCUAACUUCGUGCCAGCAGCCGCAGUAAAAC